CAUGCAGUCGACGAAGAGCGAUGGAAGCUUGCUUCUAUCAAUCUUAGUGGCGAACGGGUGAGUAACGCGUAAUCAACCUGCCCUUCAGAGGGGGACAACAGUUGGAAACGACUGCUAAUACCGCAUACGAUCUAAUCUCGGCAUCGAGGAUAGAUGAAAGGUGGCCUCUACAUGUAAGCUAUCACUGAAGGAGGGGAUUGCGUCUGAUUAGCUAGUUGGAGGGGUAACGGCCCACCAAGGCGAUGAUCAGUAGCCGGUCUGAGAGGAUGAACGGCCACAUUGGGACUGAGACACGGCCCAGACUCCUACGGGAGGCAGCAGUGGGGAAUCUUCCGCAAUGGACGAAAGUCUGACGGAGCAACGCCGCGUGAGUGAUGACGGCCUUCGGGUUGUAAAGCUCUGUUAAUCGGGACGAAAGGCCUUCUUGCGAAUAGUGAGAAGGAUUGACGGUACCGGAAUAGAAAGCCACGGCUAACUACGUGCCAGCAGCCGCGGUAAUACGUAGGUGGCAAGCGUUGUCCGGAAUUAUUGGGCGUAAAGCGCGCGCAGGCGGAUCGGUCAGUCUGUCUUAAAAGUUCGGGGCUUAACCCCGUGAUGGGAUGGAAACUGCCAAUCUAGAGUAUCGGAGAGGAAAGUGGAAUUCCUAGUGUAGCGGUGAAAUGCGUAGAUAUUAGGAAGAACACCAGUGGCGAAGGCGACUUUCUGGACGAAAACUGACGCUGAGGCGCGAAAGCCAGGGGAGCGAACGGGAUUAGAUACCCCGGGUAGUCCUGGCCGUAAACGAUGGGUACUAGGUGUAGGAGGUAUCGACCCCUUCUGUGCCGGAGUUAACGCAAUAAGUACCCCGCCUGGGGAGUACGACCGCAAGGUUGAACUCAAGGAAUUGACGGGGCCCGCACAGCGGUGGAGUAUGUGGUUUAAUUCGACG
Molecule: ribosomal RNA, 928 nt
Filed under: uncultured bacterium
Lineage: Bacteria
Description: bacterial SSU rRNA
Rfam family: Bacterial small subunit ribosomal RNA
Source: RNAcentral